UCCUCGGUAGCUCAAUGGUGGAGCACUCGGCUGUUAACCGAUAGGUUGGAGGUUCGAGCCCUCUCCGAGGAGCCA
RNAcentral lists this transfer RNA (75 nucleotides) under Clostridium tarantellae. RNAcentral's name for it is "tRNA-Asn". It matches the Rfam family "tRNA". Rfam says of the family: Transfer RNA (tRNA) molecules are approximately 80 nucleotides in length. RNAcentral also lists the same sequence under 1 other name. The record is from RNAcentral. Lineage: Bacteria; Bacillati; Bacillota; Clostridia; Eubacteriales; Clostridiaceae.